RNAcentral lists this ribosomal RNA (738 nucleotides) under Triticum aestivum (bread wheat). Its description in RNAcentral is "partial small subunit ribosomal RNA". Lineage: Eukaryota; Viridiplantae; Streptophyta; Magnoliopsida; Poales; Poaceae. The record is from RNAcentral.
AUGCCGCCUAAAGCUCUCAAAGCACCCAUCACAUGCAACUCGGUUAGAUCCAACGUCACCGACAACAUCUUAGCUGAUUUUGUAAAGACGGGUUAUCUGCCAAGGAAAGAGGUCAUGUCCUAUCAUGCUCCUGACCCGUCAGAAGAGAGGCCUCAACCCAAGGAUGGGGAAGUUGUCAUAUUUACUGAUCACAUGAACCGGGGCUUUGCUCCUCCCGGCUCAAAAUUCUUCAGAGAUGUCCUGCACUUUUUUGAUCUGCGACCUCAAGACAUCGGACCCAAUUCCGUGUCAAACAUCUGCAACUUUCAAGUGUUCUGUGAGGUGUACCUCGGAGAAGAACCCAGCUUGCUACUCUUUAGAGAGUUAUUCUAUCUGAACCGCCAAAACGAAUGUGCCAACGGGCCCAGCUUGGAGCUCGGUGGAAUCUCAAUCCAACGACGGAGAGAUUGUCUCUUCCCUUAUGCUGAGCCGCCAAGCCACCCGAAAGGUUGGAACCAGACAUGGUUCUAUUGCCAAGACACUUCUCCGGCUGAUGAAAACCCUCUGCCCGGCUUUCGCGCCCUGCGUCUGGAGUCAAAUCACCCAUUGCCAGACAAAUUAUCUCAAGCUGAACGUCAACCACUUACUCCCACCAUCAACAAAAUCAAAACUCUCCUGGGGAACGGCCUAAAUGACAUUGAUCUGGUCCGGGUCUGGAUUGCCUGGCGGGUGAUUCCUUUAAGCCGCCGCCCGGCUUGA